RNAcentral lists this ribosomal RNA (278 nucleotides) under uncultured bacterium. RNAcentral describes it as "partial 16S ribosomal RNA". It matches the Rfam family "Bacterial small subunit ribosomal RNA", at positions 506 to 784 of the family's 1533-position model. The record is from RNAcentral.
UGCCAGCCGCCGCGGUAAUACGGAGGGGGUUAGCGUUGUUCGGAAUUACUGGGCGUAAAGCGUACGUAGGCGGUCUUUUAAGUUAGGCGUGAAAUCCCCGGGCUCAACCUGGGAAUUGCGCUUAAAACUGGAAGACUAGAAAACGGAAGAGGGUAGUGGAAUUCCAGUGUAGAGGUGAAAUUCGUAGAUAUUGGGAAGAACACCAGUGGCGAAAGCGGCUACCUGGUCCGAUUUUGACGCUGAGGCGCGAAAGCGUGGGGAGCAAACAGGAUUAGAUA